UUAUUUGAGAGUUUGAUCCUGGCUCAGGAUGAACGCUGGCGGCGUGCCUAACACAUGCAAGUCGAGCGGGAUUGUGGAGUAGCUUGCUACGAAGCAAUCUAGCGGCGGACGGGUGAGUAACGC
RNAcentral lists this ribosomal RNA (123 nucleotides) under Geosporobacter ferrireducens. Its description in RNAcentral is "partial 16S ribosomal RNA". It matches the Rfam family "Bacterial small subunit ribosomal RNA", at positions 1 to 116 of the family's 1533-position model. The record is from RNAcentral. Lineage: Bacteria; Bacillati; Bacillota; Clostridia; Peptostreptococcales; Thermotaleaceae.